This 2903-nucleotide ribosomal RNA is filed under the name Escherichia coli. Its description in RNAcentral is "bacterial LSU rRNA". It matches the Rfam family "Bacterial large subunit ribosomal RNA". Lineage: Bacteria; Pseudomonadati; Pseudomonadota; Gammaproteobacteria; Enterobacterales; Enterobacteriaceae. The record is from RNAcentral.
UUAAGCGACUAAGCGUACACGGUGGAUGCCCUGGCAGUCAGAGGCGAUGAAGGACGUGCUAAUCUGCGAUAAGCGUCGGUAAGGUGAUAUGAACCGUUAUAACCGGCGAUUUCCGAAUGGGGAAACCCAGUGUGAUUCGUCACACUAUCAUUAACUGAAUCCAUAGGUUAAUGAGGCGAACCGGGGGAACUGAAACAUCUAAGUACCCCGAGGAAAAGAAAUCAACCGAGAUUCCCCCAGUAGCGGCGAGCGAACGGGGAGCAGCCAGAGCCUGAAUCAGUGUGUGUGUUAGUGGAAGCGUCUGGAAAGGCGCGCGAUACAGGGUGACAGCCCCGUACACAAAAAUGCACAUGCUGUGAGCUCGAUGAGUAGGGCGGGACACGUGGUAUCCUGUCUGAAUAUGGGGGGACCAUCCUCCAAGGCUAAAUACUCCUGACUGACCGAUAGUGAACCAGUACCGUGAGGGAAAGGCGAAAAGAACCCCGGCGAGGGGAGUGAAAAAGAACCUGAAACCGUGUACGUACAAGCAGUGGGAGCACAGAGCAAUCUGUGUGACUGCGUACCUUUUGUAUAAUGGGUCAGCGACUUAUAUUCUGUAGCAAGGUUAACCGAAUAGGGGAGCCGAAGGGAAACCGAGUCUUAACUGGGCGUUAAGUUGCAGGGUAUAGACCCGAAACCCGGUGAUCUAGCCAUGGGCAGGUUGAAGGUUGGGUAACACUAACUGGAGGACCGAACCGACUAAUGUUGAAAAAUUAGCGGAUGACUUGUGGCUGGGGGUGAAAGGCCAAUCAAACCGGGAGAUAGCUGGUUCUCCCCGAAAGCUAUUUAGGUAGCGCCUCGUGAAUUCAUCUCCGGGGGUAGAGCACUGUUUCGGCAAGGGGGUCAUCCCGACUUACCAACCCGAUGCAAACUGCGAAUACCGGAGAAUGUUAUCACGGGAGACACACGGCGGGUGCUAACGUCCGUCGUGAAGAGGGAAACAACCCAGACCGCCAGCUAAGGUCCCAAAGUCAUGGUUAAGAGGGAAACGAUGUGGGAAGGCCCAGACAGCCAGGAUGUUGGCUUAGAAGCAGCCAUCAUUUAAAGAAAGCGUAAUAGCUCACUGGUCGAGUCGGCCUGCGCGGAAGAUGUAACGGGGCUAAACCAUGCACCGAAGCUGCGGCAGCGACGCUGAUGCGUUGUUGGGUAGGGGAGCGUUCUGUAAGCCUGCGAAGGUGUGCUGUGAGGCAUGCUGGAGGUAUCAGAAGUGCGAAUGCUGACAUAAGUAACGAUAAAGCGGGUGAAAAGCCCGCUCGCCGGAAGACCAAGGGUUCCUGUCCAACGUUAAUCGGGGCAGGGUGAGUCGACCCCUAAGGCGAGGCCGAAAGGCGUAGUCGAUGGGAAACAGGUUAAUAUUCCUGUACUUGGUGUUACUGCGAAGGGGGGACGGAGAAGGCUAUGUUGGCCGGGCGACGGUUGUCCCGGUUUAAGCGUGUAGGCUGGUUUUCCAGGCAAAUCCGGAAAAUCAAGGCUGAGGCGUGAUGACGAGGCACUACGGUGCUGAAGCAACAAAUGCCCUGCUUCCAGGAAAAGCCUCUAAGCAUCAGGUAACAUCAAAUCGUACCCCAAACCGACACAGGUGGUCAGGUAGAGAAUACCAAGGCGCUUGAGAGAACUCGGGUGAAGGAACUAGGCAAAAUGGUGCCGUAACUUCGGGAGAAGGCACGCUGAUAUGUAGGUGAAGUCCCUCGCGGAUGGAGCUGAAAUCAGUCGAAGAUACCAGCUGGCUGCAACUGUUUAUUAAAAACACAGCACUGUGCAAACACGAAAGUGGACGUAUACGGUGUGACGCCUGCCCGGUGCCGGAAGGUUAAUUGAUGGGGUCAGCGCAAGCGAAGCUCUUGAUCGAAGCCCCGGUAAACGGCGGCCGUAACUAUAACGGUCCUAAGGUAGCGAAAUUCCUUGUCGGGUAAGUUCCGACCUGCACGAAUGGCGUAAUGAUGGCCAGGCUGUCUCCACCCGAGACUCAGUGAAAUUGAACUCGCUGUGAAGAUGCAGUGUACCCGCGGCAAGACGGAAAGACCCCGUGAACCUUUACUAUAGCUUGACACUGAACAUUGAGCCUUGAUGUGUAGGAUAGGUGGGAGGCUUUGAAGUGUGGACGCCAGUCUGCAUGGAGCCGGCCUUGAAAUACCACCCUUUAAUGUUUGAUGUUCUAACGUUGACCCGUAAUCCGGGUUGCGGACAGUGUCUGGUGGGUAGUUUGACUGGGGCGGUCUCCUCCUAAAGAGUAACGGAGGAGCACGAAGGUUGGCUAAUCCUGGUCGGACAUCAGGAGGUUAGUGCAAUGGCAUAAGCCAGCUUGACUGCGAGCGUGACGGCGCGAGCAGGUGCGAAAGCAGGUCAUAGUGAUCCGGUGGUUCUGAAUGGAAGGGCCAUCGCUCAACGGAUAAAAGGUACUCCGGGGAUAACAGGCUGAUACCGCCCAAGAGUUCAUAUCGACGGCGGUGUUUGGCACCUCGAUGUCGGCUCAUCACAUCCUGGGGCUGAAGUAGGUCCCAAGGGUAUGGCUGUUCGCCAUUUAAAGUGGUACGCGAGCUGGGUUUAGAACGUCGUGAGACAGUUCGGUCCCUAUCUGCCGUGGGCGCUGGAGAACUGAGGGGGGCUGCUCCUAGUACGAGAGGACCGGAGUGGACGCAUCACUGGUGUUCGGGUUGUCAUGCCAAUGGCACUGCCCGGUAGCUAAAUGCGGAAGAGAUAAGUGCUGAAAGCAUCUAAGCACGAAACUUGCCCCGAGAUGAGUUCUCCCUGACUCCUUGAGAGUCCUGAAGGAACGUUGAAGACGACGACGUUGAUAGGCCGGGUGUGUAAGCGCAGCGAUGCGUUGAGCUAACCGGUACUAAUGAACCGUGAGGCUUAACCUU